This 468-nucleotide ribosomal RNA is filed under the name uncultured bacterium. RNAcentral describes it as "partial 16S ribosomal RNA". It matches the Rfam family "Bacterial small subunit ribosomal RNA", at positions 28 to 507 of the family's 1533-position model. The record is from RNAcentral.
GACGAACGCUGGCGGCGUGCUUAACACAUGCCAGUCGAACGGAAAGGCCCUGCUUUUGUGGGGUGCUCGAGUGGCGAACGGGUGAGUAACACGUGAGUAACCUGCCCUUGACUUUGGGAUAACUUCAGGAAACUGGGGCUAAUACCGGAUAGGAGCUCCUGCUGCAUGGUGGGGGUUGGAAAGUUUCGGCGGUUGGGGAUGGACUCGCAGCUUAUCAGCUUGUUGGUGGGGUAGUGGCUUACCAAGGCUUUGACGGGUAGCCGGCCUGAGAGGGUGACCGGCCACCUUGGGCCUGAGGUACGGCCCAGAAUCCUACGGGAGGCAGCAGUGGGGAAUAUUGCACAAUGGGCGGACGCCUGAUGCAGCAACGCCGCGUGCGGGAUGACGGCCUUCGGGUUGUAAACCGCUUUCGCCUGUGACGAAGCGUGAGUGACGGUAAUGGGUAAAGAAGCACCGGCUAACUACGUG